UCCAUCUAACAACACCCCCCAGGGGUAGGCAGCACAGAGAGAGAAAGAGAUCUGGGACUCAAAUGGGACUCCAGCGGUUGCUCUGCAGAUCCCUCAAUGCUUUGUCAUUGAGCAACUAGGGCCGAUGGAAUCGCGUAAAGGAAAAUGCACCAGAAGAUGGAGCUGCUCCGCGAAGCAACUUCUCCAUAUUUCCACCGCUCAAGAUGAAUCGAUCUAUUUUCCUUAAAAGAACUUUUUUAAAAAAACCUGCGUUUAAGAAAUUGCUUUUUUUUUAAGCUUGAACAGCGGUUACCUGCUUUAAAUUUUAAGGAAAUACAUCUGCGUUCGAAAUUCCAGCAUCUGCAGUAAUUUGCUCCUACAUUGUGGUUUCGAAUGUUGCGUUCUCCCCACUAACGACUGUCCCUCUGGAUUCUUUCUUUCGGUAACCAUACCGUCCUGCACUUCUAGCUGCGCUUGAUUGUGAACAAUUAUGAUCUAUGGAUCGAAAUGCCACACCAUUCGAUGUCACGCCCGGUGUCUUUAGCGACCGGCUAUCACAACUUGUCUCAAUUUGAAUCAGGUACAGAAAGGGGCGUGCUGAAAAUAAACUUAAACCAUGAAAUACCAGGGCACUCCAAAAAGAAAUCGGUUGAAUUAAAAGGAAAGACGGAAAACUGGCCCUUUUAAAGUGAAAGGGUACUUAUUAUUGCCAGUGUUUAAAAAAAGGGGUCAAAUUUGUAACAAAAAAAGCACGUCACUUUUCCAGUCCCAUGUUUGGAAACUAGAGUCAACAGUCAAGGCAAACUGACUCCUAUCAGGGAAGGGUGAACGUUGCUCGAUUGAGCGCUUUAGCAUUCAUAUUUUACGGUUGUGAGACGAGGGGACCCGGCGAGUGUUGGAGUUUCAACGCCCGAUUAGAUGAACAAAAGUGCUGAGGAAUAAAGGAAUACCGCUUAACCGACACGACGCUUUCAGUUUCAAAUGAACGCUCGCCAGGGAAGGAAGCAUCAGCUACAACAAAACAAGCAACAACAAAAAAUUCAAUCAUUAUAAUGCUGCCUGGAAAUUGUCUCUCUUUAUUGUGGCCCGGUCACGUCCGAGAAAAGACAGCCUUUAAUUAGGAUUUUUUUUUUCGCUUACGUGGAGAAAGCAUUAAUAAUCUUCAUGUGAAUUUAAUUGAAUUAUAUACCGUAGUGCAAGGAAGGAAAUUGCGUUGUGCAAUCUUGCUGGCUGCCUUGCAAAUUAGAAGAUGAACGCAUUUUAAAUAGUAUGGAAGUGACUUGUUUUAAUUUAAACUGAAU
Molecule: non-coding RNA, 1280 nt
Organism: Chiloscyllium plagiosum (whitespotted bambooshark)
Lineage: Eukaryota; Metazoa; Chordata; Chondrichthyes; Orectolobiformes; Hemiscylliidae
Source: RefSeq, a predicted model, not a curated record